UACGUAGGGGGCAAGCGUUGUCCGGAUUUACUGGGCGUAAAGAGCGUGUAGGCGGCCAAGCAGGUCCGUUGUGAAAACUGGAGGCUUAACCUCCAGACGUCGACGGAAACCGCGUGGCUAGAGUCCGGAAGAGGAGAGUGGAAUUCCUGGUGUAGCGGUGAAAUGCGCAGAUAUCAGGAAGAACACCAAUGGCGAAGGCAGCUCGCUGGGACGGUACUGACGCUGAGGCGCGAAAGCGUGGGGAGCGAACAGG
Molecule: ribosomal RNA, 253 nt
Filed under: uncultured bacterium
Lineage: Bacteria
Description: partial 16S ribosomal RNA
Rfam family: Bacterial small subunit ribosomal RNA
Source: RNAcentral